GGUUGGUCCGAGUGCAGUGGUGUUUAUUUACAACUAAUUUGAUCACAGCCAGUUACAGAUUCCUUUGUUCCUUCUCCACUCUCCCUGCUUCACUUGACCAGCCUUUA
This 107-nucleotide Y RNA is filed under the name Prolemur simus (greater bamboo lemur). RNAcentral describes it as "Y RNA (ENSPSMG00000014159.1)". It matches the Rfam family "Y RNA". Rfam says of the family: Y RNAs are components of the Ro ribonucleoprotein particle (Ro RNP), in association with Ro60 and La proteins. The Y RNAs and Ro60 and La proteins are well conserved, but the function of the Ro RNP is not known. In humans the RNA component can be one of four small RNAs -- hY1, hY3, hY4 and hY5. Lineage: Eukaryota; Metazoa; Chordata; Mammalia; Primates; Lemuridae. The record is from Rfam by way of RNAcentral.